Polistes canadensis is the source of this 471-nucleotide long non-coding RNA. RefSeq lists it as uncharacterized. Lineage: Eukaryota; Metazoa; Arthropoda; Insecta; Hymenoptera; Vespidae. The transcript has 3 exons. The record is from RefSeq and is a predicted model, not a curated record.
AACGCCAGAUGGAGGAUGCUGCGUUCGCGGAUCUAUUGGGUUGCCAAGAAAGUUCAUAUCGUUUCUAGGUGUGUGCAUUAUUUAUUUUUAUUAAUUAAAACGGUUUGAAUUUUCUUGAUUACUCAAUAUUUAAAAAGUAUAAUCCCUGUAACAGAGUUGGUUGUGUCUGCAUAAAAUAAGUCAUUACUACUUAAGUCUGAACUAAAUGACUGCUGACUACUUAACCGCCAGUUACCGAGGAGAACAGUGUUACAACACAUAUUACGCGUAUCUUUGCGCCAGAGUCUCUGAUGCAUAGUUACAUUUGAUCGGCGGAUGUUACCAGUUUACGAUCCCUAACCGUAAUGUAUCUUGUUCGACUGCGCUCCGACAGUCAAAUAAGUAAAUACUUUGCCCUGUUUUUCUUUUGUUGUUUUUCUUCAAUUUUGUUAUUUAUUCGAAUAUAAAAUUAAAUUAAACUAAGACCGAGAA